AAACGUAGGAGGCGAGCGUUAUCCGGAUUUACUGGGCGUAAAGCGCAUGCAGGCGGUUUUCUAAGUCGGACGUGAAAGCUCCCGGCCCAACUGGGAGAGGCCGUUCGAAACUAGAAAACUUGCGGAUGGUAGAGGAGAGUGGAAUUCCCGGUGUAGUGGUGAAAUGCGUAGAUAUCGGGAGGAACACCAGUGGCGAAAGCGGCUCUCUGGGCCAUUCCUGACGCUCAGAUGCGAAAGCUAGGGGAGAGAACGGGAUUAGAUACCCCGGUAGUCC
This 274-nucleotide ribosomal RNA is filed under the name uncultured bacterium. RNAcentral's name for it is "partial 16S ribosomal RNA". It matches the Rfam family "Bacterial small subunit ribosomal RNA", at positions 523 to 796 of the family's 1533-position model. The record is from RNAcentral.